GAACAGAGGAGCACUUUCGGUAAUAGACUAAAACAACUGUGCUGCUCCAAAGAGCGCUGUAUGAGGUCACUCUUACCAUUAGGCUCUAUAAUGAAUCAACCUAAGCCGGGAAGACUGUCAGAAACUAAAACAGAUGUCCUUCGAGCCGGAAUCGAACCAGCGACCUAAGGAUUACAGCAGGGCUCCUACAGUCCUCCGCUCUACCAGCUGAGCUAUCGAAGGCACUGCGCAAGCAGGCGCUCUCACGCCUCCUGUGUCCGUCUAUGCUGCUUCGGUUGUUCUUCUCAAACCAGUCCACCAGCCACUUCACUUCCUCUACAUACUCUGUCUCGUCAUUGUUCUCAAUAAGGCAAACUUGAUGACACCGUUUGAGCUGGACCCAGCAACACAGUCAUACUUCAGCAGUAUGAAUAACAGUGCCACCCACACAGACUGACUGUGACCUUACAGUUCCAAAGUCCAGUAUCCAAUUGCAGAGGGAAGUGUUCAGACCCAGCGAGGACAGUUUCCCCAUCAGUUUCUGUGGACAUGUGGUCCAAAAAUUGGCCAAAAUAUGUUUACAUCCAAUGGGAAAGUGAGGCGGAGUACCCUGAACAACAAUUGAGGAAUCAAAAAAAAGGAACCCUUUGGAGAUGGCAGAUAUCAGCCAACAACGUGUCCUUAAAAGCAUGGCUUUUCACCCACAAGGCAAGGUAUUUAAUAGGUUAGUCCUAACGAAGGAUCUCAGCCCGAAACGUCGACUGUACCUCUUCCUAUAGAUGCUGCCUGGCCUGCUGUGCUCACCAGCAUUUUUUGUGUGUAUGGCUUAAAUAUGUAUGUUACUUUGUUAUUCUGAGCAGUUUUAUGUCAAAUAUUUUGUAAACCUACAUAAACUGUCCC
Long non-coding RNA from Mobula hypostoma (lesser devil ray), 879 nucleotides. RefSeq lists it as uncharacterized. The transcript has 5 exons. The record is from RefSeq and is a predicted model, not a curated record. NCBI's taxonomy places the organism in Eukaryota, Metazoa, Chordata, Chondrichthyes, Myliobatiformes, Myliobatidae.